UACAGAGGGUGCGAGCGUUGUCCGGAUUUAUUGGGCGUAAAGAGCGUGUAGGCGGUCUGGUAGGUCCGUUGUGAAAACUCGAGGCUCAACCUCGAGACGCCGAUGGAAACCAUCAGACUAGAGUCCGGAAGAGGAGAGUGGAAUUCCUGGUGUAGCGGUGAAAUGCGCAGAUAUCAGGAAGAACACCCGUGGCUAAGGCGGCUCUCUAGUACGGUACUGACGCUGAGACGCGAAAGCGUGGGGAGCGAACAGG
RNAcentral lists this ribosomal RNA (253 nucleotides) under uncultured bacterium. RNAcentral's name for it is "partial 16S ribosomal RNA". It matches the Rfam family "Bacterial small subunit ribosomal RNA", at positions 524 to 776 of the family's 1533-position model. The record is from RNAcentral.